Molecule: long non-coding RNA, 413 nt
Organism: Ahaetulla prasina
Lineage: Eukaryota; Metazoa; Chordata; Lepidosauria; Squamata; Colubridae
Exons: 3
Source: RefSeq, a predicted model, not a curated record
UGGUCUUUUGAUGGUCACCAGGAAUCAGCUCAGCUUCGUAACUAAAAAGAAAAAGAAAUUGGAACAAAUUCAGACUACAAACAGUUCUCGACAGGCACAAUUGGAAUCCAAAUUUCCAUCACAAUUGUGAUUUGACCUAGUGGUUAAGGCACCAGGCUAGAAACCAGAAGACCCUGAGUUCUAAUUCCGCCUUAGGCAUGAAAGCUGACUGAGUGACUUUGGGACAGUCACUCUCUCUCAGACCAAUUCAUCUCACAGAACUGUUAUUAUUGUUGUGAGGAAAAUAGGAAGAGGAAGGCAAAAAAAGAAAACAUCUCACCACUCACCUUUGCAACUUUGCCCAUAUCUUCUAAUGUAGCUCGCUCAUUGGGAAACUGGGAGAAAGUUCUGUCUAUUUUUGCAAUAAUAGCAUC